AAAGAUUUAUUUAUUUUAUUUUAAAAAUAAACGUGGUUCAAUUCACCUAUAUAAACAAAUUGAAAUAAGGAAAACCUUUAGAGAAAGGAAAGUUAACAAUCAGAUAGCAUGAAGUUUUAUAUCUUCUUUGUUUUACUCUUUGUUUUUACUGAACAAAAAGAAAAAUGUAGUAAAGGAUGUCCAUUUAACUAUGAACUGAUUUGUGCUUCAAACGGAAAAAGUUAUGAUAACAGAUGUCUGAUGGAAAUAGAUGCUUGUGAAACCCGAUCCGAGAUUUACUAUGUUCAUAGUGGGCCUUGUGAAAGGAAACCUGAUGACGAAUAAGCGUAAACAAAAGAAUUAAACUCAAUAAAGCUAAUUUCAUAUUUUCAGCAUUUUUUUAAAACUUGAUAUUGUUGUUACUUGUGUUAAAUACGUACGUAUAUUUUAUUCA
This is a long non-coding RNA of Hydra vulgaris (swiftwater hydra), 433 nucleotides long. RefSeq lists it as uncharacterized. The record is from RefSeq and is a predicted model, not a curated record. NCBI's taxonomy places the organism in Eukaryota, Metazoa, Cnidaria, Hydrozoa, Anthoathecata, Hydridae.